RNAcentral lists this transfer RNA (74 nucleotides) under Nitrospinaceae bacterium. Its description in RNAcentral is "tRNA-Arg". It matches the Rfam family "tRNA". From Rfam's summary of the family: Transfer RNA (tRNA) molecules are approximately 80 nucleotides in length. The record is from RNAcentral. Lineage: Bacteria; Pseudomonadati; Nitrospinota; Nitrospinia; Nitrospinales; Nitrospinaceae.
CCGCUCGUAGUUCAGUUGGAUAGAAUACACGGUUCCGAUCCGUGGGGUCGGGGGUUCGAAUCCCUCCGAGCGGG